Molecule: long non-coding RNA, 325 nt
Filed under: Cricetulus griseus (Chinese hamster)
Lineage: Eukaryota; Metazoa; Chordata; Mammalia; Rodentia; Cricetidae
Description: lncRNA (ENSCGRG00000025704.1)
Source: RNAcentral
AAGAGGACGAAUGAGGGGUUACUGACAGGAACAUGCAUGGCUCAAAGGCAGCAGCCAUCAUGGGAGAGUCCACCCCAGCAUGGAUGAUGACUUAUAAAAACUACUCCUGGAUCUUCCUGCUGUGUGACAUCAGCUGAGAGGAGCCAGCAGUCUUGAUUUGGAGUUUGGAAACUUGAGGAACAUGGAAAGUCUACCAGAGGCCCCCAGACCAGCUCGUGCCAGCUUGAUGACCUGUGGCUAAUGUUUGUAGGAGAGAGGCUGCAAUUACUCCCUUCAGCCCAAGAUCCUGGAAGGUGCCUGGAGGGAAGUCCAUGCUGAACACUGG